This is a long non-coding RNA of Bactrocera dorsalis (oriental fruit fly), 1236 nucleotides long. RefSeq lists it as uncharacterized. Lineage: Eukaryota; Metazoa; Arthropoda; Insecta; Diptera; Tephritidae. The record is from RefSeq and is a predicted model, not a curated record. The transcript has 2 exons.
AUCUACGUUUGGUACUUUGUCUAGUUGUCCUUGUAUUCCGAAGCUCCUAGAUACUUAAGACGAGUUCUAGAUAGUGCUGGACAAAAGUAUGGGAGGAUCACAUGCCAACAGUUGCGCGGCAGUAUUUCCGAAACCGCAUGAGCAAAAAUCAUGCGAGUUUUCCUAAGAGGCUCUUACACAUCAUCUUGGCGGCUCUGCAUUUAUAGUACUUUUUAUAUAUAUUUAUUCUCGGAAAUUUUAUUGCAUAUCGAUUUUAGUGACUACGGAAACUUUUGGCAAUCUUAUCAGCUGUUUCGUUUCCCGGAAUUCCUUUGUGGUCUGGAACCCAGUAUAUAUGACAUUCUCUGACGUAACGCAAUAGAGAUUAUUCAUCUUUUUUAUAUGGUUUCUGGAAACUUGAAAGGUUGCCUGAGAUCCAGCUUCGAGCAAUAGAUGCCACUUCAUUAGCCAUUUAGCCGGUAUAGAUGUUGCGAAUUCCGCUGAUGAGUCGGAUGCUCCUGCGCCAUCGACUCACCUUUACUGUGACUUAGCACCUACUCUCCCAAGUGUGGGUAUGUGAUAUAAUUUGUCCAACAACCGGCUGCUUAUUGAUCUAUGCCCGAAGGUCCUUAUAGAAAAUUCACCUAAUACCGUCAAUCUUGCAGCUGAUUUUACCGCAGAGCAUUGUCGAUUGGUGGUAGUGUUAGUGCUCCCGUUAUGCGUUACAUCGGUUUCCUCUAUGAGACUUUUCUGGUUCCACCACACCAGUGCAUUGUAAAGUAAAAUUGGCUUGACUAACUCUGUGUAACACCAAUGCUUGAGGCCAGGUGAUAGACCCUAGGUGGGCCCGAGCUUCUUCUUACAUGCGUAUAGAGCAGCACUGGCCUUUUUACUCUCCUCAGAUUGUACUUCCUCAUCAGCUUGAUCUCCAAUUUAGUCCCAGCUACUAAGUAUGCUCCUUUAUUAUUAAUUUAUUAUAGCAUAUAGCCGCCAAACAAACUGAACGAUCAAAAUCAAGUACUUGUAAGGAAAAUUUUUAAUUUCACAAGAUAUUUUUACGAAAUUUGACAUGGUUUAUUGUCUAAGGAAAUCUCCGAAAAAAUUGUAGAAAUUGCAUCACUAUAACAUAUAGCUGCCGUACAAACUGAACGAUCAAAAUCAAGUACUUUUAAGGAAAACUUUUUUACUUGACAAAUUAUCUUCACAAAUUUGUCAAGACAAAGGUACAACCACCAAUCAAAUUCAAGUAUUGAAUAU